ACUCAGUAGAAACACGGAGUACUGUGCAGUAACAUUGUUUCGGUAUGAAAUAGCGUGCGUAUGGCAUAACAAGUAACACAACAGUAGCGCCGACCUUCUUCCAUAUUUUCUUUCGGUGUUAGUGUAAACAAACUUACUUUGUUGCCUGAUUAUUGCAGCGUUUAUAAUUAGGUCCAGAAGUUGCGAUGUAAAGCAGCCGUGUGCAGUUUGUUGGAAUCACAAUUAAUAUUUAGUUGAAUGUAACCUGUUGCAAAAAAGCAAUGUGUAUAUUUCAGUAAUAUUUAGCACAAUAAUAUUAUUUAUGUUAUUUUUAGGAAAUAUCUGUCACCGAUUUAUUUUACAAAAUGAUUUGUAGAAUUAGUUUUUCGAAACGCGAUUAUGUUAUGAGAAAAACUGGCUGAUUGUUGAGAUUCCUGACAACCAAUGAAAUUAUUUGCUACAAAAUGGCGGGUGUUUUUAUUUGAAGAAAAGUGUCGAUAUGUGUUUAUAUAAAAUUCUUGUGUUUAUAAUGUAUUUUAAAGAAGUGCUGACUAUUUGUUUAACUUCUUUUACGAUGAAAGUAAGGUUAAUGUCGAUUUAGCGAAGGAAACGUCUUCUGUUCGUUGAGAUAAGAUUCUGAACAUGACAUCGAACAGGUUUUAGCUAAGCCGAAAAAGAAAACAGAAAACAAGUACAUUCAAAGUGAGGUAAAGUCAGAAGGAAGAAUGAAAUUAAAAGCAUUGAAGUUUCUUAGUAUUAAGACAGCGCUUACCACACCCUGCUAUUGUGGAAAACGGUGUAU
This is a long non-coding RNA of Dreissena polymorpha, 781 nucleotides long. RefSeq lists it as uncharacterized. NCBI's taxonomy places the organism in Eukaryota, Metazoa, Mollusca, Bivalvia, Myida, Dreissenidae. The transcript is spliced from 3 exons. The record is from RefSeq and is a predicted model, not a curated record.